This 345-nucleotide unclassified non-coding RNA is filed under the name soil metagenome. Its description in RNAcentral is "partial contains 5.8S ribosomal RNA, internal transcribed spacer 2, and large subunit ribosomal RNA". The stretch from base 1 to 120 matches the Rfam family "5.8S ribosomal RNA", at positions 35 to 154 of the family's 154-position model. The record is from RNAcentral.
GAUGAAGAACGUAGCGAAAUGCGAUACGUAAUGUGAAUUACAGAAUUCAGUGAAUCAUCGAGUCUUUGAACGCUCAUUGCGCCCCCUGGUAUUCCGGGGGGCAUGCCUGUCCGAGCGUCAUUGCUGCCCUCAAGCACGGCUUGUGUGUUGGGCCUCCGUCCUCCUCCCGGGGGACGGGCCCGAAAGGCAGCGGCGGCACCGCGUCCGGUCCUCGAGCGUAUGGGGCUUCGUCACCCGCUCUUGUAGGCCCGGCCGGCGCUUGCCGACACAUCAAUCUUUUUUCCAGGUUGACCUCGGAUCAGGUAGGGAUACCCGCUGAACUUAAGCAUAUCAAUAAGCGGAGGA